RNAcentral lists this ribosomal RNA (379 nucleotides) under uncultured eukaryote. Its description in RNAcentral is "partial 18S ribosomal RNA". It matches the Rfam family "Eukaryotic small subunit ribosomal RNA", at positions 592 to 976 of the family's 1831-position model. The record is from RNAcentral.
CAAUAGCGUAUAUUAAAGUUGUUGCGGUUAAAAAGCUCGUAGUUGGAUUUCGGCUGAUUCUAACCGUCCUUUCCUUCGGGAAAGCGUCUGUGUAGAUGAAGCAAUUUCUGGUAUGCGUGGUAGGCCCUUGAAUGAGCUGCCCGCAUUCUAGAUCAUUUACUUUGAGGAAAUUAGAGUGUUUCAAGCAGGCGACUGCCUUGAAUAUAUUAGCAUGGAAUAAUAAGAUAGGACUUCGAUCCUAUUUUGUUGGUUUCUGGGACUGAAGUAAUGAUUAAUAGGGACAGUCGGGGGCAUUCGUACUUAACUGUCAGAGGUGGAAUUCUUGGAUUUGUUAAAGACGAACUAGUGCGAAAGCAUUUGCCAAGGAUGUUUUCAUUGA